CUGCCAAACUGUCUUCUCUCGGACCUUCUGAUGGAAGUGGUUCUCCAGGAAGGUGACAAAGCGUACUCAUCACUCACUCUAGUGUGUACCACCUUCAGAGACACAAUGUCCACUGUGUCUUUCAGAAGAGGGGCCCACUUUCGCUGGCUUGAGAGUGUUGCUACAUGGAGUUUGUUCUCUGCUUCAUACAAGCAGGAUUUCAACGUCAUGUACACCAUUGACACCUGCCGUGGAUGCUUGGAGCCUUACAAAAACUGCAAACCAGGAUAUGUUGGGAAAGGUAAAAGAGGAGAAUUGCAGGGCAUCUACUCUGAUGACCAACAUCCAGGCUAUUGCAGUCCCUUCUGCAACCAGAUAUCAUAGUUUGGUUUUCCCGGACGC
This is a long non-coding RNA of Gymnodraco acuticeps, 381 nucleotides long. RefSeq lists it as uncharacterized. The transcript is spliced from 4 exons. The record is from RefSeq and is a predicted model, not a curated record. NCBI's taxonomy places the organism in Eukaryota, Metazoa, Chordata, Actinopteri, Perciformes, Bathydraconidae.